This 466-nucleotide ribosomal RNA is filed under the name uncultured bacterium. RNAcentral's name for it is "bacterial SSU rRNA". It matches the Rfam family "Bacterial small subunit ribosomal RNA", at positions 32 to 473 of the family's 1533-position model. The record is from RNAcentral.
AAUCAACGCUGGCGGCGUGCCUCAGACAUGCAAGUCGAACGCGAAAUUUCCCUUCGGGGAGAAAGUAGAGUGGCGCACGGGUGAGUAACACGUAGGUAAUUUGCCUUUGGGUGGGGAAUAACUCAGGGAAACUUGAGCUAAUACCGCAUAAUGCAGCGGCUCGACAUCGAGACAGUUGUUAAAGCGGGGGAGUCGCAAGACCUCGCGCCUAAAGAGAAGCCUGCGGCAGAUUAGCUAGUUGGUAGGGUAAUGGCCUACCAAGGCAACGAUCUGUAACCGGCCUGAGAGGGCGGUCGGUCACACUGACACUGACAUACGGGUCAGACUCCUACGGGAGGCAGCAGUCGGGAAUUUUGGGCAAUGGGCGAAAGCCUGACCCAGCAACGCCGCGUGAAGGAUGAAAUCCCUCGGGAUGUAAACUUCGCAAGAACGGGAAGAAUAAGUAGAAGAUAAUACCUUCUAUGAU